RNAcentral lists this ribosomal RNA (704 nucleotides) under Aphelenchoides sp. RH-2018. RNAcentral's name for it is "partial 28S ribosomal RNA". It matches the Rfam family "Eukaryotic large subunit ribosomal RNA", at positions 411 to 945 of the family's 3401-position model. The record is from RNAcentral. Lineage: Eukaryota; Metazoa; Nematoda; Chromadorea; Rhabditida; Aphelenchoididae.
UAAUGGAAACGGAUGGAGCUGACGUAUCUGGCACGUAUUCAGUCUCGCAUCUCAGCAAUCGUUCUGACGACAUUCCGCAAGGUUGUCCAAGGGCGUUCUUGUUGGGCAUGUUGGAUGCAUUUGCGUGCGGAGUGCGCCGAGUGGGUCGAUGUCGCUGUUGGAAGGGCGUAUAGAGGACUCGGUCUUCGCGGACUCGAGAAUCCUGUGCGCUCGGAUAGCAGGUGAUGUUGGCUCGCUUUCGUUUUGUGCGGGUGAAUUCGCGAUCGGCGGCCUUGUUGCGAGUGAUUUGCGUUCGACACAUGUGUCGUUCGUUCGCUGCUCGUAACGACGGUCGUCGAUUGCCCUUGCACACGACUCGGUGUAUAGUCGGUCACCCAUUUGACCCGUCUUGAAACACGGACCAAGGAGUUUAAGGUGUACGCGAGUCAUUGAGCUGGCAAGACUCAGAGGCGUAAUGAAAGUGAGACACUUGGUGUCUAUGAUGUGAGCGGCGAGCGUUUCGACGUUCACCGUGCAACAUCGCCCCAUGACUUGGACUUGUCCUGUUGUGGAGGCUGAGCGUACGCUUUGAGACCCGAAAGAUGGUGAACUAUGCCUGAACAGGAUGAAGCCAGAGGAAACUCUGGUGGAAGUCCGAAGCGGUUCUGACGUGCAAAUCGAUCGUCUGAUUUGGGUAUAGGGGCGCAAGACUAAUCGAACCAUCU